Molecule: ribosomal RNA, 301 nt
Filed under: uncultured bacterium
Lineage: Bacteria
Description: partial 16S ribosomal RNA
Rfam family: Bacterial small subunit ribosomal RNA
Source: RNAcentral
CAGUAGCCACGGUAAUACGAAGGGGGCUAGCGUUGUUCGGAAUUACUGGGCGUAAAGCGCACGUAGGCGGACAUUUAAGUCAGGGGUGAAAUCCCGGGGCUCAACCCCGGAACUGCCUUUGAUACUGGGUGUCUAGAGUAUGGAAGAGGUGAGUGGAAUUCCGAGUGUAGAGGUGAAAUUUGUAGAUAUUCGGAGGAACACCAGUGGCGAAGGCGGCUCACUGGUCCAUUACUGACGCUGAGGUACGAAAGCAUGGGGAGCAAACAGGAUUAGAUACCCGCGUAGUCCCUGUCUCUUAUAC